UACUUCAUGAAGGUUUCCUUGUG
RNAcentral lists this microRNA (23 nucleotides) under Heligmosomoides polygyrus. Its description in RNAcentral is "hpo-miR-10043b-5p". Lineage: Eukaryota; Metazoa; Nematoda; Chromadorea; Rhabditida; Heligmosomidae. The record is from miRBase by way of RNAcentral.